Molecule: non-coding RNA, 1217 nt
Organism: Equus caballus (horse)
Lineage: Eukaryota; Metazoa; Chordata; Mammalia; Perissodactyla; Equidae
Source: RefSeq, a predicted model, not a curated record
AGCAAAGUGUUGACACAAAAAUCAAUCACAUUCUCCUUAGUUCAAGAUCAGUAUGCAAGAGCUCAAAGACAUAGCUAAAAGCCACAUAACCAACAAGUUUUACCAUAUUUUUUCGAUGAAAUAAAGCAGCUGUUGAAUAAAUACAUCCAGGACAACUGGGUCAUCAGCUGCUUUUAAACCUCUGGAAACAGGACUGUGUGACAAGACUUACUUGUCGGUGCAAGAAGAGCAACAGCUGAGGAAUUCUCCUCUCGGUGACAGAUGACACGCUCUGUGCCCAGAUCUUCCAAAUUCACAGCUUCCCCCUUCACCUUUUGUCCUCGGAUGGAAGAGAAAAUCUUCUGAGUAGUUCCUGUGAGGAAAGCAAUCAAAACAAAGACCCCCAUCGCUCAAGGGUUACAUUGGAAGGCAGUUGAGUCUGUAUCUGCAAAGCAACUGAGGAAUGCCAUGGAUUCAGCAGACUGUAACAAAAGUAUGUGAUUCUGGCAAGAGUGGAAGAUGAAGGGGACAGGAAAUCCCAGACGGGGGCACAGAAGGGCGCGCAGUCUGGAUGCUUCCGCAAGAAGAGGGGCUGAGGUGGAGGAGGACGCUCACCUGCUGGUGCGACUUCUGCUCAGGAGCGCCUCUGGUGACCUUCGGAGAAGGCCCCGAAAGACAAUGACCGUAUGGCAGCCCACUGUCAUCCUACAGUACUUAGUGUAGCUCCAAAAAAAUCCUGCGGAAGGGUCUUUUGGGAGUUGAUACUUUUCUGGGAAAUAAAGUGCAAAAUGUCUUCCAGGGCAAAAAUGUUAAGAAGAAAUUCUAAAUAUGUGUAUAUCUUAAAAGCCAGUAAUUCCACUCCUAGGUAUAUGCCCUACAAAAACAUCUACACAUGUGCAUAAAGAUGUAUGUAAACAUUCUUAGCAACAUUAUUCAUAAUAGGACAAAACUGGAAACAACUCAAAUGUCCAUCCACACUAGAAAGGACGAGUAAAGUACGAUGCAUUCAUCUGAUGAUAUAUUACACAGAGAUAAGAAUGAACAGACCACAGGUACAUAGUUCUAUGCAGAUCAAUCUCACAUCGUCGUGUUGAGUUAAAGAACUCAGGUGAAAAAAUAUCUACUGUAUGAUGUUACUCAAAUAAAGUUCAAAACCAAGUGACACUAACUGGUGGCAUUUGAAGGCAGAUGGUGGUUAGCUCUGCGAGAAGGGUGGGCUAGUGAUGGAGAGCGAAGGG